AUUUUAACGACACUUUCUAUCGACAAUUUCAUAUUAUUGUAUGUGGACUGGACUCUAUCAUCGCCAGAAGAUGGAUAAAUGGCAUGCUGAUAUCUCUUCUAAAUUAUGAAGAUGGUGUCUUAGAUCCAAGCUCCAUUGUCCCUUUGAUAGAUGGGGGGACAGAAGGUUUUAAAGGAAAUGCCCGGGUGAUUCUGCCUGGAAUGACUGCUUGUAUCGAAUGCACGCUGGAACUUUAUCCACCACAGGUUAAUUUUCCCAUGUGCACCAUUGCAUCUAUGCCCAGGCUACCAGAACACUGUAUUGAGUAUGUAAGGAUGUUGCAAUGGCCUAAGGAGCAGCCUUUCGGAGAAGGGGUUCCAUUAGAUGGAGAUGAUCCUGAACAUAUACAAUGGAUUUUCCAAAAAUCCCUAGAGAGAGCAUCACAAUAUAAUAUUAGGGGUGUUACAUAUAGACUCACUCAAGGUAAGUCAGCAAAUUGUCAUGAAUUAUGAUGUUGGGAUGACUUAGGGCUGGGAUGCUUUCAGGAGAAUAAUUGAUAAGUGAGUUUAGACAGUACCAUCCACUUGAAGUUCAGUAAAGGUACCAUGUAAUUCAUACUACUUAUUAGCUAGGGGGAAUUUAAUAAAAUUAUUGAAUCUUACUUACUUAGGCUGUAAGUCAUCCAAGUCAAACUGUCCACUUUAUCUUCCACUG
RNAcentral lists this small RNA (693 nucleotides) under Pongo abelii (Sumatran orangutan). Its description in RNAcentral is "retained intron". Lineage: Eukaryota; Metazoa; Chordata; Mammalia; Primates; Hominidae. The record is from RNAcentral.